GAAACUUCAGAUCGAAAUGCUUGUCUCUGAAUGUAGAUUUUAAUCUUUUCUGUAAAAGGAAAAAAGAAUGAGAAGUAUAUAUAUAUAUAUUUGUUGAAGUUGUGAGGUCGGCAUUUUCUUCCCAGGUUAGCAAGUUAAGGAGAAGAUUAAUAAAUGAAAAAUAGACAAGGUCGGACUAACGUUUCAGGUCGGAUAGGACAUGAGGUCAGAGGAUACACGAUUCAUAGCCAUCCAACUCUGUUGCAGAGCAACGCCCCUCAAGUAUCAGAGCAACCUGGAGAUAAUAGGAAAUAAUCAAAUAUCCAGGCAAGGUGGAUAAGCUCCGACGCGGUAUGCCGUCCAGCUCAAAGACAAGGUGACGAUCCAAUGUCGCGUCCAGCCAUGGGUGUUACCGGCGAAGCCC
This 403-nucleotide long non-coding RNA is filed under the name Manihot esculenta (cassava). Its description in RNAcentral is "long non-coding RNA (MESC_LNC010053)". The record is from RNAcentral. Lineage: Eukaryota; Viridiplantae; Streptophyta; Magnoliopsida; Malpighiales; Euphorbiaceae.